GCCAAUGACGACUUAAUCCAUCUUGUCUGAGACGUUGUGGAGCCAAGCCCCUGUUUCAUGGAGAACCUACUUGGUGAAGCUAUGUUCACAAGAUUUUAAUGGAUUUAUCUGAGGU
This is a small nucleolar RNA of Cucurbita pepo subsp. pepo (vegetable marrow), 115 nucleotides long. RefSeq annotates it as small nucleolar RNA Z278. NCBI's taxonomy places the organism in Eukaryota, Viridiplantae, Streptophyta, Magnoliopsida, Cucurbitales, Cucurbitaceae. The record is from RefSeq and is a predicted model, not a curated record.